RNAcentral lists this ribosomal RNA (292 nucleotides) under uncultured bacterium. RNAcentral describes it as "partial 16S ribosomal RNA". It matches the Rfam family "Bacterial small subunit ribosomal RNA", at positions 505 to 796 of the family's 1533-position model. The record is from RNAcentral.
GUGCCAGCAGCCGCGGUAAUACGAGGGGAGCUAGCGUUAUUCGGAAUUACUGGGCGUAAAGCGCACGUAGGCGGCUUUGUAAGUAAGGGGUGAAAGCCCAGAGCUCAACUCUGGAAUAGCCUUUUAGACUGCAUCGCUUGAAUCCAGGAGAGGUGAGUGGAAUUCCGAGUGUAGAGGUGAGAUUCGUAGAUAUUCGGAAGAACACCAGUGGCGAAGGCGGCUCACUGGACUGGUAUUGACGCUGAGGUGCGAAAGCGUGGGGAGCAAACAGGAUUAGAAACCCGCGUAGUCC